AGAGCGAACGCUGGCGGCAGGCCUAACACAUGCAAGUCGAGCGCCCGUAGCAAUACGGGAGCGGCAGACGGGAGAGUAACACGUGGGAACGCGCCCUUCGGUUCGGAAUAACUCAGGGAAACUUGAGCUAAUACCGGAUACGCCCUUACGGGGAAAGAUUUAUUGCCGAAGGAACGGCCCGCGUCCGAUUAGCUAGUUGGUGAGGUAAUGGCUCACCAAGGCGACGAUCGGUAGCUGGUCUGAGAGGAUGACCAGCCUCACUGGGACUGAGACACGGCCCAGACUCCUACGGGAGGCAGCAGUGGGGAAUAUUGGACAAUGGGCGCAAGCCUGAUCCAGCAAUGCCGCGUGAGUGAGGAAGGCCUUAGGGUUGUAAAGCUCUUUCGCACGCGACGAUGAUGACGGUAGCGUGAGAAGAGCCCCGGCUAACUUCGUGCCAGCAGCCGC
Molecule: ribosomal RNA, 447 nt
Filed under: uncultured bacterium
Lineage: Bacteria
Description: SSU rRNA
Rfam family: Bacterial small subunit ribosomal RNA
Source: RNAcentral